CUCGUUGGUGACCAGCGGAGGGAUCAUUACAGAGUGCCCUUUGGCUCUGCAAACCCCGCGAACAGCAUACCCUGUUGCCUCGGCGGCGCUGCGCCAGCAGCCCGCCGGCGGCCCUGAAUAAACUCUUUAGUAGCCGCCGUCCUUCUGACUAAGAUUCAUAAUAAGUAAAAACUUUUAGCGGCGGAUCUCUUGGCUCAAGCAUCGAUGAAGAACGCAGCGAAAUGCGAUAACUAGUGUGAAUUGCAGAAUUCAGUGAACCAUCGAGUCUUUGAACGCACAUUGCGGCCGCCGGCACUCCGGCGGCCACGCCUGUCCGAGCGCCACUAGCACCCUCAGGCCCUGUUGCCUGGCGCUGGGAGCCUGCCCUCAGCGGCGGGCCCCCGAAAAGCAGUGGCAGCAGCGCCAGCGGCGUUACGUGUUCAGUAGCAUACCACUAACACGGCACCCCGGCGUCUGCUCGCUGGCCCGAACCCCUAAUUAUCAAGUGGUUGGCCUCGGAUCAGGCGGGACUACCCGCUGAACUUAA
RNAcentral lists this ribosomal RNA (526 nucleotides) under Parasympodiella longispora. RNAcentral's name for it is "eukaryotic LSU rRNA". The stretch from base 170 to 323 matches the Rfam family "5.8S ribosomal RNA". The record is from RNAcentral. Lineage: Eukaryota; Fungi; Ascomycota; Sordariomycetes; Coronophorales; Scortechiniaceae.